UCCACAAAAACCAGACCUUCCCCUCCACCAACGCCGUUGCUUUCUCAGUCUUCACUCCCUCCCCUGUUCCUCCUCUUCAUUUCUCCGUGUAAAGACCCCUGUUCUUCUUCCUCACUUUAGAGCAGAAACACUCUCUUCUCAGCCAUGUAAUUACCCAAAUCCUAGCUCCAAAACUCCCGAAAUCACAACUGAAAAAUCCGUCACAAACUUUAGCCAUGAAACAAUCUUGAAAUAGUCCCAAAAAUCAUGUGAAGAUUGGCUCCUUCCUUACCAAUCUGUUUUUCUUUCUGUGUUUGAGAUUCCGGGUAAAGCCAGAGGUCAAAGUUUGAGGUUGCGUUCGAGUCUUCGUUUAUAUAGCUGUCCGAGCUUAGUUGUUGCUUAAUUUUUGAGAUUCUUGAGCUGUGUUGGUAUAAGAAUGUGCUGUUUGUUGCUGUCCCUGUGCGCCGAGUUUCCUUCUUCUACUCCUUACCUUUAUUUGGCUUUUGUCAUCCUGCUUGCCCCCUUGCAUUUAAGGUACACACAGAAUCCCAUUUUGUUGUGCUGAUUUGUGAGAUUAAUGUGUAACUCAAUUUUGCCUUUGUUUAUAAUCCUAUACUUGCUUGAGGAUAAAUUCCUACUUCUGUUAAGAUUUAGUUGUUUCAUGCAAUGGGGUAUAUAUUCUGAAUUUGUUCAUUGGGUUGCUGUGGUUUUAUUUAUUUAUUUAUUUAUUUUAUCUGUUUGGUUGGAGGCAAUUUUAAAGAAGUUACUUUCAAUAAUUUGUACUGCAAUGCGAAAUUGGUUUUGUUGAACUAUGUUUGAUUAUAAACAUUUUGAGCUAAUUAAAAGAAUAGAGCAAUGCCAACUUUAUAAUUAUUUGUUAUUCUUGUAAAGUUGAAAGUGCUGCCACGAGGUUGUGAUUUAUAUGCCCUUCAAACGGUUUCUGAAAUUGGAUAAUUAGUGUUGGACUUUCUAGUCCAAAAUUGUGUUGAAACAGCAACCUCAUUGAUUGGUGUUGGAAAUUAAAGCACUGACACUUUCUUUUAUAAUUUUUUUCUUGCUCACCUAGUUUUAGGUAAAUUGCACAUAAAUGUCAGGAUGCAAAUGAGAGUUCGUCGUUGGAAUUUGAAGAUGACCAGCGGCAUAUCCGGUGAUCUAAGCAGAUUGAAAUUAAUAUACGUAGCUAAAUUAUAUCCGCGAAUAUUUGUUGUACUUUGAAGAACUGUUAACACAAUUUUUAUGCAUAUCUGAAUUUAGUUGUGUGACCCUAUUUGACUUUGUUUUUGCCAUCAUUUUUUGAGUUUAAGCUACAAAUGGAUUGUAAAAAAAGUUUUUUUGGUCAUAAUUGAGACGUAUCAUGCCAAAUAAAAUCCUUAAGCCUAUGGCCCUCACAAAAUUAGUUAGCCUUUAAUAAAAAUUUAAGGUGUGUCAUAUUAAAUAACACCAAUAGUUUAUGGCCCUCAAAAGUUUAGUUCGAACAUCCUUUAAAAUUAGAAUUUUGAGAUGUGCACGUUAGUUGAAUUUUCAUGGCCCUCGCAAAAUUGAAAGUGCAUAGUUGCUUUAGGAGCGCUAUUUUAAAAAAAAAUUACUUUGCUAAACUCGGCUGUGUAUUUCAUGUGACCCAAAUCCAAAUCUCAACAGCGUUAAAUAAAACGUGUUUAUGGGUGCAUUUCGUGUGGCGUGGUUCAAAGACGCAUUUUAGAUAACGUUGAAUCUUCUUAAAAUUAAUUAAAAACGGCAAAUAAGUUUAAAAUAUACCAUAUGCUAAAACAUAUAUUAAAAUC
RNAcentral lists this long non-coding RNA (1760 nucleotides) under Nicotiana benthamiana. RNAcentral's name for it is "long non-coding RNA (NBEN_LNC038373)". Lineage: Eukaryota; Viridiplantae; Streptophyta; Magnoliopsida; Solanales; Solanaceae. The record is from RNAcentral.